RNAcentral lists this ribosomal RNA (494 nucleotides) under uncultured bacterium. RNAcentral describes it as "partial 16S ribosomal RNA". It matches the Rfam family "Bacterial small subunit ribosomal RNA", at positions 29 to 505 of the family's 1533-position model. The record is from RNAcentral.
AUGCACGCUGGCGGCGUGCCUAAUACAUGCAAGUCGAGCGAACAGACGAGGAGCUUGCUCCUCUGACGUUAGCGGCGGACGGGUGAGUAACACGUGGAUAACCUACCUAUAAGACUGGGAUAACUUCGGGAAACCGGAGCUAAUACCGGAUAAUAUAUUGAACCGCAUGGUUCAAUAGUGAAAGACGGUUUUGCUGUCACUUAUAGAUGGAUCCGCGCCGCAUUAGCUAGUUGGUAAGGUAACGGCUUACCAAGGCGACGAUGCGUAGCCGACCUGAGAGGGUGAUCGGCCACACUGGAACUGAGACACGGUCCAGACUCCUACGGGAGGCAGCAGUAGGGAAUCUUCCGCAAUGGGCGAAAGCCUGACGGAGCAACGCCGCGUGAGUGAUGAAGGUCUUCGGAUCGUAAAACUCUGUUAUUAGGGAAGAACAAAUGUGUAAGUAACUAUGCACGUCUUGACGGUACCUAAUCAGAAAGCCACGGCUAACUACG